GUGGCUGUAGAUCAGUGGUAGAUCCCUUGAUUGUGGUUCAAGUUGUCGCGGGUUCGAAUCCCGUCAGCCACCCCA
Molecule: transfer RNA, 75 nt
Filed under: Candidatus Omnitrophota bacterium
Lineage: Bacteria; Pseudomonadati; Candidatus Omnitrophota
Also listed under: 2 other names
Description: tRNA-His
Rfam family: tRNA
About the family: Transfer RNA (tRNA) molecules are approximately 80 nucleotides in length. Their secondary structure includes four short double-helical elements and three loops (D, anti-codon, and T loops).
Source: RNAcentral